CCCAUGAAACGUAGCUUAUUGUUCGAAAGUCGUAAGUCUUGCUUUUAUAAUGUGAUAGUGUCAACUCUUGCUCAUGAGAUGUAGCUUGAAUGGAAGAAAUCGAAGAAAAGAACAAAAAUAUUAAAAAAAUAAAAAUCAAAGAAAAUGUAGAAGUUGAGAGAAAAUAGGAAAAAAUAAAGGUUGAUAAAAAAAAUUAAAUAAAAAUAAAGGUCGAGAAAAAUUAAAAAAGAAAAUAAUCAAAGAAUUUUUUUAAAUAAAAGUAGACGUUGAAAGGUAUAAAUAAAAAAGUAAGGGCUG
Molecule: long non-coding RNA, 297 nt
Filed under: Capsicum annuum
Lineage: Eukaryota; Viridiplantae; Streptophyta; Magnoliopsida; Solanales; Solanaceae
Description: long non-coding RNA (CANN_LNC002738)
Source: RNAcentral